UGAGGAAUAUUGGUCAAUGGGGCGAGAGCCUGAACCAGCCAAGUAGCGUGCAGGAUGACGGCCCUAUGGGUUGUAAACUGCUUUUAUAAGGGAAUAAAGUGAGUCUCGUGAGACUUUUUGCAUGUACCUUAUGAAUAAGGACCGGCUAAUUCCGUGCCAGCAGCCGCGGUAAUACGGAAGGUCCGGGCGUUAUCCGGAUUUAUUGGGUUUAAAGGGAGCGUAGGCCGGAGAUUAAGCGUGUUGUGAAAUGUAGGCGCUCAACGUCUGCACUGCAGCGCGAACUGGUUUCCUUGAGUACGCACAAAGUGGGCG
RNAcentral lists this ribosomal RNA (312 nucleotides) under uncultured Prevotella sp. RNAcentral's name for it is "bacterial SSU rRNA". It matches the Rfam family "Bacterial small subunit ribosomal RNA", at positions 355 to 663 of the family's 1533-position model. Lineage: Bacteria; Pseudomonadati; Bacteroidota; Bacteroidia; Bacteroidales; Prevotellaceae. The record is from RNAcentral.